This 112-nucleotide non-coding RNA is filed under the name Amygdalobacter indicium. RNAcentral's name for it is "FMN riboswitch aptamer (RFN element)". It matches the Rfam family "FMN riboswitch aptamer (RFN element)". From Rfam's summary of the family: The RFN element is a highly conserved domain that is found frequently in the 5'-untranslated regions of prokaryotic mRNAs that encode for flavin mononucleotide (FMN) biosynthesis and transport proteins. This element is a metabolite-dependent riboswitch that directly binds FMN in the absence of proteins. RNAcentral also lists the same sequence under 2 other names. The record is from RNAcentral. Lineage: Bacteria; Bacillati; Bacillota; Clostridia; Eubacteriales; Oscillospiraceae.
UGUUUUCAGGGAUAGGUGAAAUUCCUUACCGGUGGUAAUAGUCCACGAAUGGUUCGCCAUAGAUUCGGUGUAAUUCCGAAACCGACAGUUAAAGUCCGGAUGGGAGAAAACG